This 459-nucleotide ribosomal RNA is filed under the name Poecilia latipunctata (broadspotted molly). RNAcentral's name for it is "partial 12S ribosomal RNA". It matches the Rfam family "Bacterial small subunit ribosomal RNA", at positions 875 to 1533 of the family's 1533-position model. Lineage: Eukaryota; Metazoa; Chordata; Actinopteri; Cyprinodontiformes; Poeciliidae. The record is from RNAcentral.
GGGAACUACGAGCAUAAGCUUAAAACCCAAAGGACUUGGCGGUGCUUUAGACCCCCCUAGAGGAGCCUGUUCUAGAACCGAUAACCCCCGUUCGACCUCACCUUUUCUUGUUCAUCCCGUCUAUAUACCGCCGUCGUCAGCAUACCCUGUGAAGGAAACAUAGUAAGCAAAACUGGUAAAACCCAAAACGCCAGGUCGAGGUGUAGCACACGAAAAGGAAAGAAAUGGGCUACAUUUCCUCUUACAGGAAAUACGAAUUGUGUCAUGAAACAACACAUGAAGGAGGAUUUAGCAGUAAGUAGAAAACAGAGUGUUCUACUGAACCCGGCCCUGAAGCACGCACACACCGCCCGUCACCCUCCCCAAAUCAAAAUAUACCCAUAUUUAAAAACCCACAGAACUUAAAGGGGAGGUAAGUCGUAACAUGGUAAGUGUACUGGAAAGUGCACUUGGAAUAAA